GGUUUUGUAGUUCAGUUGGUUAGAACGCGCCGUUCACAUCGGCGAGGUCACAGGUUCGCGUCCUGUCAAGACCACAA
Molecule: transfer RNA, 77 nt
Filed under: Anaerolineae bacterium
Lineage: Bacteria; Bacillati; Chloroflexota; Anaerolineae
Description: tRNA-Val
Rfam family: tRNA
About the family: Transfer RNA (tRNA) molecules are approximately 80 nucleotides in length.
Source: RNAcentral